Pelobates fuscus (common spadefoot toad) is the source of this 220-nucleotide long non-coding RNA. RefSeq lists it as uncharacterized. The transcript is spliced from 3 exons. The record is from RefSeq and is a predicted model, not a curated record. Lineage: Eukaryota; Metazoa; Chordata; Amphibia; Anura; Pelobatidae.
CUUGGACGUUCAACUUCCCUGCCUCAGUGAAAACAGAUUUGUGUACAUUUUUAUUUUUAUUUAGUUGUGUCGAGAUAUGGUGGAGUUUUGGACCAUUUUGCUAGCUGAAGAAAGAAAAUUGAAGAUCAGCAAAUUUUCCUGUGAAUACCCCUUCAGUCUGCACUGGAACCUGUGUUGCCAAAAUUCAUGAAACCAUGGGUUUCGGAGAUUGGUCUCUGGC